Molecule: transfer RNA, 51 nt
Filed under: Blotiella stipitata
Lineage: Eukaryota; Viridiplantae; Streptophyta; Polypodiopsida; Polypodiales; Dennstaedtiaceae
Description: partial tRNA-Leu
Source: RNAcentral
AAAAUCCGUUGGUUCCACGGGACCGUGAGGGUUCAACUCCCUCUAUCCCCA